UACAGAGGGGGCAAGCGUUGUUCGGAAUUACUGGGCGUAAAGGGCGCGUAGGCGGCCCGCUAAGUCGAACGUGAAAUCCCCGAGCUCAACUCGGGAACUGCGUCCGAUACUGGCGGGCUUGAAUCCGGGGGAGGGAUGCGGAAUUCCAGGUGUAGCGGUGAAAUGCGUAGAUAUCUGGAGGAAUACCGGUGGCGAAGGCGGCAUCCUGGACCGACAUUGACGCUGAUGAGCGAAAGCUAGGGGAGCAAACGGG
This 253-nucleotide ribosomal RNA is filed under the name uncultured bacterium. Its description in RNAcentral is "partial 16S ribosomal RNA". It matches the Rfam family "Bacterial small subunit ribosomal RNA", at positions 524 to 776 of the family's 1533-position model. The record is from RNAcentral.